UUUUCAUUUAACUAAUUUCCAUGCAUGAAAUUCAUAGUCAACUGUCUCGCAACUAAGUUCGUAAUAUCAACCUAAGGUUCAAUGUAAUAUAGCAAACAGCUUGAGUUCAAUGUCGUCUUGUACACACUGUGAUCAGUUUCAGAUUGACAUAAUGUUUGCAGUGGUUAUACUGGAUCAAUUCAUGCAUGGAAAUUAGUUAAAUGAAAA
RNAcentral lists this unclassified non-coding RNA (207 nucleotides) under Hevea brasiliensis (rubber tree). Lineage: Eukaryota; Viridiplantae; Streptophyta; Magnoliopsida; Malpighiales; Euphorbiaceae. The record is from RNAcentral.